RNAcentral lists this ribosomal RNA (497 nucleotides) under uncultured bacterium. RNAcentral's name for it is "partial 16S ribosomal RNA". It matches the Rfam family "Bacterial small subunit ribosomal RNA", at positions 28 to 507 of the family's 1533-position model. The record is from RNAcentral.
GAUGAACGCUGGCGGCGUGCCUAAUACAUGCAAGUCGAGCGAACAGACGAGGAGCUUGCUCCUCUGACGUUAGCGGCGGACGGGUGAGUAACACGUGGAUAACCUACCUAUAAGACUGGGAUAACUUCGGGAAACCGGAGCUAAUACCGGAUAAUAUAUUGAACCGCAUGGUUCAAUAGUGAAAGACGGUUUUGCUGUCACUUAUAGAUGGAUCCGCGCCGCAUUAGCUAGUUGGUAAGGUAACGGCUUACCAAGGCAACGAUGCGUAGCCGACCUGAGAGGGUGAUCGGCCACACUGGAACUGAGACACGGUCGAGACUCCUACGGGAGGCAGCAGUAGGGAAUCUUACGCAAUGGGCGAAAGCCUGACGGAGCAACGCCGCGUGAGUGAUGACGGUCUUCGGAUCGUAAAACUCUGUUAUUAGGGAAGAACAAAUGUGUAAGUAACUAUGCACGUCUUGACGGUACCUAAUCAGAAAGCCCCGGCUAACUACGUG